UACGAAGGGGGCUAGCGUUGCUCGGAAUCACUGGGCGUAAAGCGCACGUAGGCGGACUCUUAAGUCGGUGGUGAAAUCCUGGAACUCAACUCCAGAACUGCCUUCGAUACUGAGAGUCUUGAGUCCGGGAGAGGUGAGUGGAGCUGCGAGUGUAGAGGUGAAAUUCGUAGAUAUUCGCAAGAACACCAGUGGCGAAGGCGGCUCACUGGACCGGCAUUGACGCUGAGGUGCGAAAGCGUGGGGAGCAAACAGG
Molecule: ribosomal RNA, 253 nt
Filed under: uncultured bacterium
Lineage: Bacteria
Description: partial 16S ribosomal RNA
Rfam family: Bacterial small subunit ribosomal RNA
Source: RNAcentral